RNAcentral lists this ribosomal RNA (1000 nucleotides) under uncultured organism. Its description in RNAcentral is "bacterial SSU rRNA". It matches the Rfam family "Bacterial small subunit ribosomal RNA", at positions 356 to 1376 of the family's 1533-position model. The record is from RNAcentral.
GGGGGAUAUUGCGCAAUGGGGGCAACCCUGACGCAGCAACGCCGCGUGAAGGAUGAAGGUUUUCGGAUUGUAAACUUCUUUUAUUAAGGACGAAAAAUGACGGUACUUAAUGAAUAAGCUCCGGCUAACUACGUGCCAGCAGCCGCGGUAAUACGUAGGGAGCAAGCGUUGUCCGGAUUUACUGGGUGUAAAGGGUGCGUAGGCGGCUUUGCAAGUCAGAUGUGAAAUCUAUGGGCUCAACCCAUAAACUGCAUUUGAAACUGUAGAGCUUGAGUGAAGUAGAGGCAGGCGGAAUUCCCCGUGUAGCGGUGAAAUGCGUAGAGAUGGGGAGGAACACCAGUGGCGAAGGCGGCCUGCUGGGCUUUAACUGACGCUGAGGCACGAAAGCGUGGGUAGCAAACAGGAUUAGAUACCCUGGUAGUCCACGCUGUAAACGAUGAUUACUAGGUGUGGGGGGUCUGACCCCUUCCGUGCCGGAGUUAACACAAUAAGUAAUCCACCUGGGGAGUACGGCCGCAAGGUUGAAACUCAAAGGAAUUGACGGGGGCCCGCACAAGCAGUGGAGUAUGUGGUUUAAUUCGAAGCAACGCGAAGAACCUUACCAGGUCUUGACAUCCAACUAACGAAGUAGAGAUACAUUAGGUGCCCUUCGGGGAAAGUUGAGACAGGUGGUGCAUGGUUGUCGUCAGCUCGUGCCGUGAGAUGUUGGGUUAAGUCCCGCAACGAGCGCAACCCUUGCUAUUAGUUGCUACGCAAGAGCACUCUAAUAGGACUGCCGUUGACAAAACGGAGGAAGGUGGGGACGACGUCAAAUCAUCAUGCCCCUUAUGACCUGGGCUACACACGUACUACAAUGGAUGUUAACAGAGGGAAGCAAGACAGCGAUGUGGAGCAAACCCCUAAAAACAUUCUCAGUUCAGAUUGCAGGCUGCAACCCGCCUGCAUGAAGAUGGAAUUGCUAGUAAUCGCGGAUCAGCAUGCCGCGGUGAAUACGUUCCCG